AGUCGUAACAAGGUAUCCGUAGGUGAACCUGCGGAUGGAUCAUUACCAAAGAUUCAUCUCCAUGUCUUGUGAACUGUACCUUUAACAGUCAGUGUUAUGGUAGCUUAGGCCUUAUGGUAGGCGUUAUGGUAGCGGUCGCCUUAUGGUAGCCGUUAUGGUAGCGCUAUGCCUUAUGGUAGCGGCUAUGGUAGCACUGGCUAAACUUAUACGUAACUGCUUCUGCCAAGUACUGAAGUCUAUUACAAGUUGUAACUAACUAAGAACAACUUUUAGCAAUGGAUCUCUUGGCUCUC
RNAcentral lists this unclassified non-coding RNA (293 nucleotides) under fungal sp. Its description in RNAcentral is "partial internal transcribed spacer region". The stretch from base 1 to 45 matches the Rfam family "Eukaryotic small subunit ribosomal RNA", at positions 1787 to 1831 of the family's 1831-position model. The record is from RNAcentral. Lineage: Eukaryota; Fungi.